AGGUACUCGCAACGAGCGCAACCCCUACGUUUAGUUGCUAACGCGUGAAGGCGAGCACUCUAGACGAACUGCCGUUGACAAAACGGAGGAAGUGGGGAUGACGUCAAAUCAUCAUGCCCCUUAUGUUCUGGGCUACACACGUGCUACAAUGGCCGGUACAGACGGACGCAAAGCCGCGAGGUGGAGCAAAUCCUAAAAGCCGGUCUCAGUUCGGAUUGCAGGCUGCAAUUCGCCUGCAUGAAGUCGGAAUCGCUAGUAAUCGCAGGUCAGCAUACUGCGGUGAGUACCGUUCCCGGGCCUU
This 301-nucleotide ribosomal RNA is filed under the name uncultured Bacillus sp. Its description in RNAcentral is "bacterial SSU rRNA". It matches the Rfam family "Bacterial small subunit ribosomal RNA", at positions 1078 to 1382 of the family's 1533-position model. The record is from RNAcentral. Lineage: Bacteria; Bacillati; Bacillota; Bacilli; Caryophanales; Bacillaceae.